GACGAACGCUGGCGGCGUGCUUAACACAUGCAAGUCGAACGGAAAGGCCCUGCUUUUGUGGGGUGCUCGAGUGGCGAACGGGUGAGUAACACGUGAGUAACCUGCCCUUGACUUUGGGAUAACUUCAGGAAACUGGGGCUAAUACCGGAUAGGAGCUCCUGCUGCAUGGUGGGGGUUGGAAAGUUUCGGCGGUUGGGGAGGGACUCGCGGCUUAUCAGCUUGUUGGUGGGGUAGUGGCUUACCAAGGCUUUGACGGGUAGCCGGCCUGAGAGGGUGCCCGGCCACAUCGGGUCUGAGAGGCGGCAGAGACGCAUCCGGGGGGAAGGAGUGGAGAAUAUCGCAGAAUGGGCGGAAGAGUGAUGCAGCAACGCCGAGCGUGAGACGAUGUUAUGCGGGUUGUAAACCGCUUUCGCUUGCGGCGAAGAGCGUGAGAGUAUAAGGUGAAAAGGAGCCGGCUAACUACGUG
Molecule: ribosomal RNA, 466 nt
Filed under: uncultured bacterium
Lineage: Bacteria
Description: partial 16S ribosomal RNA
Rfam family: Bacterial small subunit ribosomal RNA
Source: RNAcentral